AUGGAAUUUUAACACCGAAAUCAAUUUAAACUGAUACUCCAGCUAUUUAUAGAAUUUUUAUGUAUCGGUACCAUUUGGAAAUCAUAAGUAGGAGGUAAUCGUUUCACUCCCGAAAAUUGAGGCGACAAAAAAUAAAUUGUUUUAUAAAAUACAAUACUUUUCAAUACAUUAAGUAUAGCCACUUAAAUGGAUCACUCUUUAUUUGUAUAUAUAUAGAAUAUUCAGAGCUCGGACCUUUUA
Cinara cedri is the source of this 240-nucleotide non-coding RNA. The record is from the annotation of a GenBank genome assembly. Lineage: Eukaryota; Metazoa; Arthropoda; Insecta; Hemiptera; Aphididae.